AACGAACGCUGGCGGCAUGCCUAACACAUGCAAGUCGAACGAGACCUCCGGGUCUAGUGGCGCCCGGGUGCGUAACGCGUGGGAACCUGCCCUUAUGUUCGGAAUAACUCCCCGAAAUGGGUGCUAAUACCGGAUAAUGUCUUCGGACCAAAGAUUUAUCGCCUUUGGAUGGGCCCGCGUUGGAUUAGCUAGUUGGUAGGGUAAAAGCCUACCAAGGCGACGAUCCAUAGCUGGUCUGAGAGGAUGAUCAGCCACACUGGGACUGAGACACGGCCCAGACUCCUACGGGAGGCAGCAGUGGGGAAUAUUGGACAAGGGGCGAAAGCCUGAUCCAGCAAUGCCGCGUGAGUGAUGAAGGCCUUAGGGUUGUAAAGCUCUUUUACCCGGGAUGAUAAUGACAGUACCGGGAGAAUAAGCACCGGCUAACUCCGUG
Molecule: ribosomal RNA, 433 nt
Filed under: uncultured bacterium
Lineage: Bacteria
Description: partial 16S ribosomal RNA
Rfam family: Bacterial small subunit ribosomal RNA
Source: RNAcentral